Molecule: ribosomal RNA, 484 nt
Filed under: uncultured bacterium
Lineage: Bacteria
Description: partial 16S ribosomal RNA
Rfam family: Bacterial small subunit ribosomal RNA
Source: RNAcentral
AGUGAACGCUGGCGGCGUGCUUAACACAUGCAAGUCGAACGAGAACGGAUUAUAGCUUGCUAUAAUUGUCAGCUAAGUGGCGCACGGGUGAGUAAUGUAUAGGUAAUAUGCCUCUUACUAAAGGAUAACAAAUGGAAACGUUUGCUAAUACCUAAUACUCCUUAUUAACAGAAGUUAAUAAGGGAAAGAUUUAUUGGUAAGAGAUUAGCCUGUAUUGUAUCAGUUAGUUUGUGGGGUAAUGGCUUACCAAGACUAUGACACAUAACUGGUUUGAGAGGAUGAUCAGUCACACUGGAACUGAGACACGGUCCAGACUCCUACGGGAGGCAGCAGUGGGGAAUAUUGCACAAUGGACGAAAGUCUGAUGCAGCAACGCCGCGUGGAGGAUGACACAUUUCGGUGCGUAAACUCCUUUUAUAUGAGAAGAUAAUGACGGUAUUAUAUGAAUAAGCACCGGCUAACUCCGUGCCAGCCGCCGCGGUAA